CAGCCGUAAACGAUGGGUACUAGGUGUUGGUGGAGUUAUCUACCAGUGCCGCAGUUAACACAUUAAGUAUCCCGCCUGGGGAGUACGGCCGCAAGGUUGAAACUCGAAGGAAUUGACGGGGGCCCGCACAAGCAGUGGAGCAUGUGGUUUAAUUCGAAGCAACGCGAAGAACCUUACCGGGGUUUGACAUCUGACGGACCUGGUAGAGAUACCGGGGUGCCCUUUAUGGGAGCGUCAAGACAGGUGGUGCAUGGUUGUCGUCAGCUCGUGUCGUGAGAUGUUGGGUUAAGUCCCGCAACGAGCGCAACCCUUGUGCCUAGUUGCCAGCGCGUAGAGGCGGGCACUCUAGGCAGACUGCCGCAGACAAUGCGGAGGAAGGUGGGGAUGACGUCAAAUCAUCAUGCCCUUUAUAUCCCGGGCUACACACGUGCUACAAUGGCCUGUACAGCGGGUAGCGAAGGAGCGAUCCGGAGCCAAUCCCUGAAAGCAGGUCUCAGUUCGGAUUGCAGGCUGCAACUCGCCUGCAUGAAGUCGGAAUUGCUAGUAAUCGCGGAUCAGCAUGCCGCGGUGAAUACGUUCCCGGGCCUUGUACACACCGCCCGU
RNAcentral lists this ribosomal RNA (603 nucleotides) under uncultured bacterium. Its description in RNAcentral is "bacterial SSU rRNA". It matches the Rfam family "Bacterial small subunit ribosomal RNA", at positions 797 to 1397 of the family's 1533-position model. The record is from RNAcentral.